ACUUCUCCAAGACUUAGAGGCUAGAGCUAGACGGCUAGAAUUAGGGUUCUUCUUCAAUACCUUGUAACCCCGUUUAUUCUUGUUGUUCUAUCUAAUAAAACGUCUUUUCAAGUCUUUCUCUUCAUUAUUCUCUCAAAUCCUUACGAAAUACCUACAAGCAUCCUCAAAUACAUUCGGUUUACCGGCUUGUCCAUCGUUCCG
This 201-nucleotide long non-coding RNA is filed under the name Brassica napus (rape). RNAcentral's name for it is "long non-coding RNA (BNAP_LNC020200)". The record is from RNAcentral. Lineage: Eukaryota; Viridiplantae; Streptophyta; Magnoliopsida; Brassicales; Brassicaceae.